Aquila chrysaetos chrysaetos is the source of this 1928-nucleotide long non-coding RNA. RefSeq lists it as uncharacterized. The transcript has 3 exons. Lineage: Eukaryota; Metazoa; Chordata; Aves; Accipitriformes; Accipitridae. The record is from RefSeq and is a predicted model, not a curated record.
GAAAAGGCAUGACAGAAAACACUUCCUCAGUCUAAGAGAGUUCUGUCUGUCUGGGAUCAAGCCACCCUUUCGAUAUAAGAUGGAAAAGCUCCUUUCAGAAGUGCUCUUUCCAUCCCCCUUCUCUGCAGAAGAAAAGAGUAAGAGCUACACUAUAGCUGCCUUUGAGUGGGCAUACCCAGCUAUGAAGAAACUGUGGGUGAGGGAGAGCACCAGGCAGAAGUGGAUGAUCUGCAAAAACAAAAGGCAGCAAUGGAAAACAUCAAAAUCCUGAGUGUGCUGGAAGUGAUGGAAGACCAAAAUCUGCACUGGCAGCUGUGCAUUUUGAUUAUUGUGAUCAUAACUCUGCAAUUCUCUGGCACUAAUGCAGCUGGGUAUCUUCCCCUCUCCACACACUAAAACAACUCUUAGGUGUCCAUAAGAAAAUUCUGUAGUUUAAGCUUGCGGACACUAUAAAAGAAGUAGUAUCUGGGUGGGAGUCAAGCAGUCACGAGAUUUACUCCUGGUCAUUGACUGGCUGCUGAUUUGGCUUUGGAUGUUUUUGCCCAUCCAUCUACCACUCUUUAUUUGGAAAACUGGCAUUCACUAUCUAUCUACCUGACAGAAAGAGAGAUCUUCACUGAGCUGGCAAAGUGCUAUAUAAAUGCAUCAUGUUAUUUAAGAAAAGUUUUGAAUUAUGGACAUUUAUUCUGCAAUAACUCUGGGUGCAGACUGAACAUUUGAAUUAUGGACAUUUAUUCUGCAAUAACUCUGGGUGCAGACUGGCUUGUACAUGUUAACCUGCCCACAACAGCUCCUGUGCCCGCACACCUCAUUGAUUCCAAAAACACUAACAAGGUGCUGCCUGUAUCCAGGAUGAAAUCUUAUGCUUCUUUUUGCCACCAUGCUCUCUUCCCCCAUUCCUUCUGUGGUAGUGCUUCUAUACAGCUUGCAGCUUCCCUAACAAUGUUGUAAAGGGGAAUUUCUAAUGCCUGAGUCACCUGUUAGUUUGAAAAUAAGAACAGCAUGAGACCAAACAGAACACAAAUAUAACAUUUAUCUUCUUCCAUGCUGUUCUUUUCCCAGUUUGCAUAGAUUUUACAAUGUGGUGCAAUGGCAAGUGGUAGUACUUCUGAACUGCGCUGAAGAGACAUUAAAGCCAUGGAGUAGCUAACUAGAUAUAUGGAAAAAUACAUGUUAGGAUCAGUGUACCAGAUCAAUAGUGUAUUCUGCCAUGGCAACUUCCAUUUGUCAGUUCCUUCUCUCUGAUUUUACUCUCCUCUUUCUCUCUUUCAUAUCUUCUUUUCAGGAGUCCCAACCUUUCUGCAUAUACAGAAGAGAGAAUUUUCUGUUGUAAUCUUGGUCAGCGUCACUUUGUCUUUGCUGGUCCUUUUGCAGGAAACAGUCUCAGCAGAAGCACAGCUGGAACAUCGCAGAGAGACUGUUCAUCCCUGUCACACAGCACCAUGUCAGGUUUAAAAGCAUGAGCUUUGGAUCCCUCUGUUGCUCUCUUACAAAGUCCAACUAUGUUCACUGAUAUAGCUCCAGUGUCUCCUGCAAGAAGUCAAUCCUUCAUGGGUAGUCUUGCUGGGCAUCUUCACUACUUCGUGGCUUAAGGAGCCUUUCCAUCUCAAGCAUUCAUCCUCCCAGGCUGCAAAAAUGCAAUGUACCAACCCUCAAGAGGCCUGUUCUCCCAAAUGCUCAUGAUUGCUGCAUCUCUUGCAGUUACUGAUAAACCAGGCAGUAUAUGAUUAACCUGCCAAUAUCGAUGUUUGUGUGUUGCUUUAACCCCAUGCCAAGGCCUCUCUUUCUCAUACUUCUGCAAGCAACAUCUCAAAUUAUUUUGACUACUGACCCUGCCUAUCUUUUACUCAAAAGAGAUAAAACAAGUAAGCUAGGCUUUUUUCUUUUAGCUUUUUCGUCUUUGUACUACUGCUUCAGUGUCAUUGCUG